Molecule: ribosomal RNA, 466 nt
Filed under: uncultured bacterium
Lineage: Bacteria
Description: bacterial SSU rRNA
Rfam family: Bacterial small subunit ribosomal RNA
Source: RNAcentral
GACGAACGCUGGCGGCGCGCCUAACACAUGCAAGUCGAACGAGAGAGAGGGAGCUUGCUUCCUCGAUCGAGUGGCGAACGGGUGAGUAACGCGUGAGGAACCUGCCUCAAAGAGGGGGACAACAGUUGGAAACGACUGCUAAUACCGCAUAAGCCCACGACCUGGCAUCGGGUUGAGGGAAAAGGAGCAAUCCGCUUUGAGAUGGCCUCGCGUCCGAUUAGCUAGUUGGUGAGGUAACGGCCCACCAAGGCAACGAUCGGUAGCCGGACUGAGAGGUUGAACGGCCACAUUGGGACUGAGACACGGCCCAGACUCCUACGGGAGGCAGCAGUGGGGAAUAUUGCACAAUGGGGGAAACCCUGAUGCAGCGACGCCGCGUGGAGGAAGAAGGUCUUCGGAUUGUAAACUCCUGUCGUUAGGGACGAUAAUGACGGUACCUAACAAGAAAGCACCGGCUAACUACGUG